This 160-nucleotide ribosomal RNA is filed under the name uncultured bacterium. RNAcentral describes it as "partial 16S ribosomal RNA". It matches the Rfam family "Bacterial small subunit ribosomal RNA", at positions 355 to 507 of the family's 1533-position model. The record is from RNAcentral.
UGGGGAAUUUUGGACAAUGGGCGCAAGCCUGAUCCAGCCAUGCCGCGUGAGUGAAGAAGGCCUUCGGGUUGUAAAGCUCUUUCGGCGGGGACGAAACGGUCUGUGCCAACACCACGGAUUAAUGACGGUACUCGCAGAAGAAGCACCGGCUAACUACGUG